RNAcentral lists this ribosomal RNA (482 nucleotides) under uncultured bacterium. RNAcentral describes it as "partial 16S ribosomal RNA". It matches the Rfam family "Bacterial small subunit ribosomal RNA", at positions 30 to 507 of the family's 1533-position model. The record is from RNAcentral.
AUUGAACGCUGGCGGCAUGCCUUACACAUGCAAGUCGAACGGUAACGGGCCUUCGGGUGCCGACGAGUGGCGAACGGGUGAGUAAUACAUCGGAACGUGCCCGAUCGUGGGGGAUAACGAGGCGAAAGCUUUGCUAAUACCGCAUACGAUCUACGGAUGACAGCAGGGGACCGCAAGGCCUUGCGCGGACGGAGCGGCCGAUGGCAGAUUAGGUAGUUGGUGGGAUAAAAGCUUACCAAGCCGACGAUCUGUAGCUGGUCUGAGAGGAUGAUCAGCCACACUGGGACUGAGACACGGCCCAGACUCCUACGGGAGGCAGCAGUGGGGAAUUUUGGACAAUGGGCGCAAGCCUGAUCCAGCCAUGCCGCGUGGAGGAUGAAGGCCUUCGGGUUGUAAACUGCUUUUGUACGGAACGAAAAGCCUUAUUUUAAUACAGGAGGGUCAUGACGGUACCGUAAGAAUAAGCACCGGCUAACUACGUG